UACGUAGGUGGCGAGCGUUGUCCGGAUUUACUGGGCGUAAAGGGAGCGUAGGCGGAUUUUUAAGUGAGAUGUGAAAUACUCGGGCUCAACUUGAGUGCUGCAUUUCAAACUGGAAGUCUAGAGUGCAGGAGAGGAGAAUGGAAUUCCUAGUGUAGCGGUGAAAUGCGUAGAGAUUGGGAAGAACACCAGUGGCGAAGGCGAUUCUCUGGACUGUAACUGACGCUGAGGCUCGAAAGCGUGGGGAGCAAACAGG
RNAcentral lists this ribosomal RNA (253 nucleotides) under uncultured bacterium. RNAcentral describes it as "partial 16S ribosomal RNA". It matches the Rfam family "Bacterial small subunit ribosomal RNA", at positions 524 to 776 of the family's 1533-position model. The record is from RNAcentral.